Salvelinus sp. IW2-2015 is the source of this 776-nucleotide non-coding RNA. The record is from RefSeq and is a predicted model, not a curated record. Lineage: Eukaryota; Metazoa; Chordata; Actinopteri; Salmoniformes; Salmonidae.
GCUUAACUACCUUGGGAAAAAGAAAGACGCGGAAAGCAUCGGAAAACUUAACUCUUUCUGACACUCGCUUCCAGGUGAGGCAGGCUCCUCAUGACGCGAUGAAAACGUCAUCAAACAUCGACAUUCACUUGGAAAAUAACACAAUAUGGCUCACUGUAGCUACAAUAAACUCUCACAUUUAUUAAAGUUAACCACCGCUAUCCUAAAUAAACCUACAUUGUUACGGACAGGAUAUUCAACAUCCACCACUACGCUGCAAAUAUGUCAUACGUUUAAGACCUCAGGUCCUGAGAGGGCGUUGCAGGAGAGACAGAAGCAGCACAUGGCACGCGGCUUUCCCAAACAAAAGCCCAUUGCUGGAGUGAAACAAGUUAGUGGUGGCCUCAGGGAAGGGGGGUGUUGGGAAAUCAACCACUUCAGUGAAUUUGGCCGUUGGAUUCGCAGCUAAUGAUCCAAGUAAAACAGUGGGCAUCUUAGAUGCUGAUGUUUACGGUCCCUCAGUUCCUAAGCUGAUGAACCGGAAGGGGAACCCAGAACUAACUGACAGUAGGAGACUUCUGCAUGUAGUCUAGCUUGAGGAAUAACAGUGAUGUAUUAGCUUUGUACAUUCAUUAUAGAGAUCACAUUGAAAAGAGUACCUACAAAGUUGUGAUGUUUACUUUAUUUGUGCUUUCAGACAAUCUCUGAGACCACUUGUGAAUUUUGGGAUUCCUUGUAUGUCCAUGGAGUUUCUGGUAGAGGAUGUAGCACCCAUUGUCUGGUAGAUUGGGGACUGC